Molecule: ribosomal RNA, 468 nt
Filed under: uncultured bacterium
Lineage: Bacteria
Description: partial 16S ribosomal RNA
Rfam family: Bacterial small subunit ribosomal RNA
Source: RNAcentral
GACGAACGCUGGCGGCGUGCUUAACACAUGCAAGUCGAACGGAAAGGCCCUGCUUUUGUGGGGUGCUCGAGUGGCGAACGGGUGAGUAACACGUGAGUAACCUGCCCUUGACUUUGGGAUAACUUCAGGAAACUGGGGCUAAUACCGGAUAGGAGCUCCUGCUGCAUGGUGGGGGUUGGAAAGUUUCGGCGGUUGGGGAUGGACUCGCGGCUUAUCAGCUUGUUGGUGGGGUAGUGGCUUACCAAGGCUUUGACGGGUAGCCGGCCUGAGAGGGUGACCGGCCACAUUGGGACUGAGAUACGGCCCAGACUCCUACGGGAGGCAGCAGUGGGGAAUAUUGCACACUGGGCGGAAGCCUGAUGCAGCAACGCCGCGUGCGGGAUGACGGCCUUCGGGUUGUAAACCGCUUUCGCCUGUGACGAAGCGUGAGUGACGGUAAUGGGUAAAGAAGCACCGGCUAACUACGUG